Molecule: small nuclear RNA, 161 nt
Filed under: Cervus hanglu yarkandensis (Yarkand deer)
Lineage: Eukaryota; Metazoa; Chordata; Mammalia; Artiodactyla; Cervidae
Description: U4 spliceosomal RNA (ENSCHYG00000015856.1)
Rfam family: U4 spliceosomal RNA (bases 1-131)
About the family: U4 small nuclear RNA (U4 snRNA) is a component of the major U2-dependent spliceosome. The structure of U4 snRNA from yeast and human has been reported. U4 snRNA presents a k-turn RNA motif in the 5p-SL related to recognition of Snu13 protein.
Source: RNAcentral
AGCUUUGCGCAGUGGCAGUAUCAUAGCCAAAGAGGUUUAUCCGAGGCGCAAUUAUUGCUAAUGGAAAAAAAAAAAAGGGAUAUUGAGAGGAACUGCCCAAAAUUUCAGAUCUUUCUGCCAUCUUUCUAGAAAAGGAUUUAUUUUGGCGUACCACCUCUAGU